This 506-nucleotide ribosomal RNA is filed under the name uncultured bacterium. Its description in RNAcentral is "partial 16S ribosomal RNA". It matches the Rfam family "Bacterial small subunit ribosomal RNA", at positions 29 to 523 of the family's 1533-position model. The record is from RNAcentral.
AUUGAACGCUGGCGGCAGGCCUAACACAUGCAAGUCGGACGGUAGCACAGAGGAGCUUGCUCCUCGGGUGACGAGUGGCGGACGGGUGAGUAAUGUCUGGGGAUCUGCCCGAUAGAGGGGGAUAACCACUGGAAACGGUGGCUAAUACCGCAUAACGUCGCAAGACCAAAGAGGGGGACCUUCGGGCCUCUCACUAUCGGAUGAACCCAGAUGGGAUUAGCUAGUAGGCGGGGUAACGGCCCACCUAGGCGACGAUCCCUAGCUGGUCUGAGAGGAUGACCAGCCACACUGGAACUGAGACACGGUCCAGCCUCCUACGGGAGGAAGCAGUAGGGAAUAUUGCACAAUGGGCGCAAGCCUGAUGCAGCCAUGCCGCGUGUAUGAAGAAGGCCUUCGGGUUGUAAAGUACUUUCAGCGGGGAGGAAGGCGAUGUGGUUAAUAACCGCAUUGAUUGACGUUACCCGCAGAAGAAGCACCGGCUAACUCCGUGCCAGCAGCCGCAGUAA